UUUUAAAAAAAUAAAAAGAAAAGACAAGAAGGAUAAAAUUUUAUUUAAAUGUAUGUUUAAAAAAGUUUUUUUUAUAAAAAAACUGUAAGGGAAAAAUGAAAAUUUUAAAAAUUUAAAAAUGAAAAAGUUCAUUAGGGUACCUUUUGCAUUAGGGUUUUUAGAAGAAAUUAAAGCAUUUUAAUUUCCCGAAAUUAAAAUGAGCUAUUAAAAUAUUUUAAUUAUGUGGAAAUAUAAUAAAAAAUAUAUUAAUAGAAAUGAAAUUUUAUUCAUAUUUAAUGAUAUCUGGUUAUAAUUUUUUGAUUUUAGAUCAUAAUUAUAUUUGAAAAGUUUUUAAAUAAUUGUAUAAUUUUAUCUACGGGGGAUAAGCUUGGUAGAUUUCUUUAUAAUUUUAUAAUAUUUAAUUAAGGAUUAAAAUUUUCUAAGUCUUUUUAAAAAGAAUUAAAAAAUAAUUAAAAAAAUUUAAUUAAGAUUUUUUUAUGAUUAAAUUAAUUAUUGUUUAAUAAAAUUAUUAAAAAAUUAGUAAAUUGAAAAAAAUAAUAAGAAAUUUAAAAAAAAUUUAAAAAUGGAAAUUUAAUUAUAGCAAUUCGGCAAAUUGAUUUAAUUGACUGUUUACCAAAAACAUUUCAUUUUGUUGUGUAAUAAAAUGUAUAAUCUGCUCAAUGAUUUUUUAAAUUGCUGUGGUAUUUUGACUAUACGAAGGUAUUGAAAUAAGAUUUUAAAUGAGUGCUAAGAGAAUGAUUGAACAAUUAUAGGCUUUCUUUAGUUAAAUAAUUAAAUUUAAUUUUUUUUAGUGCAAAAGCAAAAAUUAAAUUUAGGGACAAGAAGACCCUAUGAAUUUUAAUUUAAUUUAUAAUUUGAAAUUUUAAAUUAAAUUUGAUUGGGGCGAUGGAAAAAGAAUGAGUAUCUUUUUUAGUUUUAAAAAUUGGUUCCGUUUUUAACGAUUAAAUGAGAAAAAUACUCUAGGGAUAACAGCGUAAUAAUUUUGGAUAGUUCUUAUAGAUAAAAUAGUUUGCGACCUCGAUGUUGGAUUAGGAUUCUUUCUUGGCGAAGAAGUUAAGAAAAAGAAGUUUGUUCAACUUUUAAAUUCCUACAUGAUCUGAGUUCAGACCGGCGUGAGCCAGGUUGGUUUCUAUCUUAAUUUAAAAGAUAUUUUUAUAGUACGAAAGGAAUUAAAAAUUAAAAUAAUUUUUUUUAAUUUUAAAAAGUAUUAACUAAUUUGGCAGAAAAAA
This 1229-nucleotide ribosomal RNA is filed under the name Ixodes persulcatus (taiga tick). Its description in RNAcentral is "16S ribosomal RNA". The stretch from base 812 to 1138 matches the Rfam family "Archaeal large subunit ribosomal RNA", at positions 2151 to 2715 of the family's 2987-position model. Lineage: Eukaryota; Metazoa; Arthropoda; Arachnida; Ixodida; Ixodidae. The record is from RNAcentral.